CCUACGGGAGGCAGCAGUGAGGAAUAUUGGUCAAUGGCCGUGAGGCUGAACCAGCCAAGUCGCGUGCGGGAUGACGGCCCUAUGGGUUGUAAACUUCUUUUGUCCGGGAAUAAAGUGCGUCACGUGUGAUGUUUUGUGAGUACCCGAUGAAAAAGCACCGGCUAACUCCGUGCCAGCAGCCGCGGUAAUACGGAGGAUGCGAGCGUUAUCCGGAUUUAUUGGGUUUAAGGGGAGCGUAGGCCGAGGUGCAGGCCAGCGGUCAAAUUGCGGGACUCAACCCUGUACUGCCGUGGGAACUGGAUCCCUUGAGUGCGCGGAAAGUAUGCGGAAUGCGUGGUGUAGCGGUGAAAUGCAUAGAUAUCACGAAGAACUCCGAUUGCGAAGGCAGCAUACGGGAGCGCAACUGACGCUGAUGCACGAAGGCGUGGGUAUCGAACAGGAUUAGAUACCCGAGUAGUC
Molecule: ribosomal RNA, 459 nt
Filed under: uncultured bacterium
Lineage: Bacteria
Description: partial 16S ribosomal RNA
Rfam family: Bacterial small subunit ribosomal RNA
Source: RNAcentral